Molecule: long non-coding RNA, 252 nt
Organism: Nomascus leucogenys (northern white-cheeked gibbon)
Lineage: Eukaryota; Metazoa; Chordata; Mammalia; Primates; Hylobatidae
Exons: 3
Source: RefSeq, a predicted model, not a curated record
AUGCCCUCUGGGCUGUUAUAUAAUAUUCCAGGAGACAGUGGAGUGAAGCAGACCUCAGCGUCCCAGAGGUGUGCUGCCAAGACAGUGUGCCUUCCUUGCUUGAAGUCUUGGAAGCUUCCUACCUCCUCUAAGAAGAUUUUCCAGGCAAAACCCAGAUCUGCUUUAGUGACUUCAGAAGAAAAAGAUCUGAGGGAAGAUGAGAAGCCGAUAGCCAACGGUUAUGAGGAUGAGGGUCGCUAUCCAAAGGAUUGA